Molecule: ribosomal RNA, 253 nt
Filed under: uncultured bacterium
Lineage: Bacteria
Description: partial 16S ribosomal RNA
Rfam family: Bacterial small subunit ribosomal RNA
Source: RNAcentral
UACGAAGGGGGCUAGCGUUGCUCGGAAUCACUGGGCGUAAAGCGCACGUAGGCGGAUUGUUAGGUCAGGGGUGAAAUCCUGGAGCUCAACUCCAGAACUGCCUUUGAUACUGGCGAUCUCGAGUCCGGGAGAGGUGAGUGGAACUGCGAGUGUAGAGGUGAAAUUCGUAGAUAUUCGCAAGAACACCAGUGGCGAAGGCGGCUCACUGGCCCGGUACUGACGCUGAGGUGCGAAAGCGUGGGGAGCAAACGGG